This 254-nucleotide long non-coding RNA is filed under the name Homo sapiens (human). RNAcentral describes it as "HSALNT0155386". Lineage: Eukaryota; Metazoa; Chordata; Mammalia; Primates; Hominidae. The record is from RNAcentral.
CCUGAACCCACAAGGUCAACUUGGACCUUCAGACCUAGGAACUGACAUGCCCAAGACCAUAUGGAAAGUCAUCUCCUGGGCUGGGGUAUGGCAUCAUGCAACGUCAUGCAAUGCUGGAGGCAAUAGCUCUGGGAUCAAAACCCACUCUGCUGCUUCCUAGAUAUCCGCUGUGUGACUUGGCUCCUUCUGAAAGGCCCUCCCCCCUCCCUCUAAAGCAGCCACCUGGUGCCGACGGAGGUGGACACAGGCCCCUC